Molecule: ribosomal RNA, 465 nt
Filed under: uncultured bacterium
Lineage: Bacteria
Description: partial 16S ribosomal RNA
Rfam family: Bacterial small subunit ribosomal RNA
Source: RNAcentral
CCUACGGGAGGCAGCAGUAGGGAAUUUUCGUCAAUGGGCGCAAGCCUGAACGAGCGAUGCCGCGUGAGUGAAGAAGGCCUUCGGGUCGUAAAGCUCUGUUGCGGGGGAAAAAAGGCAGCAUCAGGAAAUGGGUGCUGACUGAUGGUGCCCCGCCAGAAAGUCACGGCUAACUACGGGCCAGCAGCCGCGGUAAUACGUAGGUGGCGAGCGUUAUCCGGAAGGAUUGGGCGUAAAGGGUGCGCAGGCGGUCCUGCAAGUCUGGAGUGAAACGCAUGAGCUCAACUCAUGCAUGGCUGUGGAAACUGGAGGACUGGAGAGCGGGAGAGGGCGGUGGAACUCCAUGUGUAGCGGUAAAAUGCGUAGAUAUAUGGAAGAACACCAGUGGCGAAGGCGGCCGCCUGGCCUGUUGCUGACGCUGAGGCACGAAAGCGUGGGGAGCAAAUAGGAUUAGAUACCCCAGUAGUC